UGAUUCCUAUCACACUGAAGCCUUACUGGAAUUCAGCUUUAAAGUAAAUUAUUGAGAAAAUUGGGAUCUGAUAAAUGAAUAUGAGAGGUUGCUUAUUUCUUUAUAUUUCCAAGCUCCACAGAUCAGAAGACUACUUUUCCUGAAAAGUUAUCCCGCAGAUAUCAAAUCAAGUUAAAGGUACUACCCAUCUUACAAGAAGCAAGAUAAUGCAGUGAAUGGAGUCCUCUGGGUUUAACUCCUGGAUCUGUAAUUUUCUGGUGACCAACCUGACUAGACAGCCGCUCCACCCUCCCUGUGCCACUCAGACUCUUCCUGAAGUUCCAGAAGCUUGGUGCCUGUGAAAACAACAACCUUCUCAAAGACACAAUGAUCAUAUCUGGGUCAAAGGUAAUUUUCUCUGGCUUAUUAAAUAUGUUAAUGCA
Non-coding RNA from Delphinapterus leucas (beluga whale), 422 nucleotides. NCBI's taxonomy places the organism in Eukaryota, Metazoa, Chordata, Mammalia, Artiodactyla, Monodontidae. The record is from RefSeq and is a predicted model, not a curated record.